Oryctolagus cuniculus (rabbit) is the source of this 7436-nucleotide non-coding RNA. The record is from RefSeq and is a predicted model, not a curated record. NCBI's taxonomy places the organism in Eukaryota, Metazoa, Chordata, Mammalia, Lagomorpha, Leporidae.
GGCGGCUUUACCCGCUACCACGGCGCCAGCCCCGAAGUGAGCUUUUAGGAGUAUUAGUUUCCUAAGUUUUGUUUUUAUUUUUUGGAUUAUUUUUAGUUUCCUAAGCUCUUUAAAGUAAUUUAAAGUAAAUGCGUGCUUUCCCCACGCAUUAGGCAGCACCUGUAGGAAGCAGACGUGGGUUCUAUGAACGCAAUACAAUCACCAGAAGUAAAAAUCAAAUCUCAAAUCUUGCUUCGGUUAUCACGUGCUCCGCGCACAGUCGAAAACCACGUUUCAUCCCAACACGAAUGCGUCAAUUUAGGGUAGAUUCAGCGGCCACACGGACGUCACGUGGUACAGACCGGGGCGGCGCCUUUGGCGGGUAGGCGGGACGCAGGGGCUUGUGGGAAAUGUAGUCAUGGUUUCCGUGACGUCAUCAUCACGCGACGACAGGAAGGCGCCUCGGUCCCUUCUGCGCAUGUGUCCAAGAGUUCCGUGUGUCGCCGCUGUCUACCCGCGCCAUUGGAGUCAGGUUGUGUGUCGCCGCAGUCUACCCGCGCCAUUGGACUCGGGCUGAAGUGCAUCGCUGCAGGGGCAAUGCGCUCCACCGGGGAGACUUGGGGCGUGGAUGGCGGCCCCGUCUCCUUCCCACGCUUUUGCCGUACUGCAGAGCAGCGCUGAGAAGUCCCACAGAGGUGACAGAGGAUUCCCAUCUGCUGAUUGAUCCCACAAAUGGCUGCAGCAGCCAGGAUGGGUCAGUACCAGAUCCAUGUCUUGGGACCUCAAUCCAGGUCUCCGAUAUGGGUGGCAGGAACCAUUACUGGCCCCACCAGGGCCUGUUAGCAGGAAGCCGGAGUCAGGAGCCUGAGGUUGGAAUCAAGCCCAAGCACUUCAGUGUCUUAACUUCUAGUUGAUUUCUCAACAGUGUUGCAGUGGAUUCGUUUCUGAGAUGAGGAGCAGUGGUGGGGGCAAGAGGCGCAGAGUCACCACACAGACCCCGGAAGUCGGUGAAAGCAGGCCAGAGGGCGUUGGAAUGUUGGUUGUUUGCCAAGUUCUGUCACUGAAGAAUGCGUGACAGCACUGAUCGCUCGGCUGUCUGCCUGUGACGGGGGAGCCCUCACAACACUUCAGCAACAGCGCAGCCUCGGUGUGGCCACAGCCCCUGCCCUGCAGUCUCCAGCUGCCCUCGUCUGCCUGUGACGGGGGAGCCUCUCACAGCACUUCUGCAACAGUGCAGCCUCGGUGUGGCCACAGGCCCUGCCUGCAGUCUCCAGCUGCCCUUGUCCCAUGCUGUGCAAUGGAUUUCUAAUUUGUGCAACAACCGGCGGUUACUGGAGAAGAGUAGGUAAGCUGUUGCUUUCUGUAAUCUUCAUAGGAGCUUUAGAAUCAAUUUUAAAUUCAUUUUAUCUUAUUUUAAAUUGACAGAUAGCUGUAUAUAUGUGGCAUACAGUAUAGUGGUACACGGCCUAUAAACCUUGUCAGAUGAUUAAGUGAGGAUAAUUUUUUAAAGUAUUCAUUUAUUUAUUUGAAAGGCAGAGAUACAGAGGGGCUGAGAUGGGGGGAGAGAGAGAGAGAGGUCUUGCAUCUGUUGGUUCACUCCCCAGAUGGCUGCAUCGGACAGAGCUGUGCUGAUCUGGAGCCAGGAGCUUCCUCCAGGUCUCCUACAUGGGGCCAGGGGCCCAAGGACUUGGGCCAUCUUCUACUGCUUUCCCAGGCCACAGCAGGGAGCUGGAUCAGAAUGUAGCUUCCAGGACUCGAACCGGCACUCAUAUUGGAUGCCGGCACUGCAGGUGGCAGCUGUAACUGCUAAGCCACAGUGCUGGCCACAAGUGGGCAUAAUUAACAUAUCCAUCAUCUUAUCAUUUCUUUGGAAUGACAACACUGGCAGAAAACCCAGAGGUUCUUGUCCUAUGCCUUUGCCAGCAGAAGCACACUCACCACAGUGUGAGCUGAGAGCAGCAAUUUAAAUUUAAAUUGCACAAUUCAGGAACAAGGUGGCUUUAAUCAGAAAUCGGGUUUCUGCAAGAGCCAGGAGUUAAAGGUUUUAACUUCCAGGGAAGUUUUAUAUGCUCCCUGAGUUUAUGGGACGUCCCCAGGAGGGUUGCUCAGGUUCAGGGAGGAGCAGGUUUCUUUGCCAUCUGUGUCGUCGUGUGUGCUGCAUGUGUUUCAGGUUGGCUGCUGUUGGACGUUUAUCAUUAUAAUGGAGUUGGAUUUCUGUGCCAGGAAGGAGAUGGUGAGGGUCCUGGCCCUGCUUUUACAAGGGUGCAGCAAAGGCCAGCGCUGCGGCUCACUAGGCUAAUCCUCGGCCUUGCGGCGCCGGCACACUGGGUUCUAGUCCUGGUCGGGGUGCCGGAUUCUGUCCCGGUUGCCCCUCUUCCAGGCCAGCUCUCUGCUGUGGCCAGGGAGUGCAGUGGAGGAUGGCCCAAGUGCUUGGGCCCUGCACCCUCAUGGGAGACCAGGAGAAGCACCUGGCUCCUGCCUUCGGAUCAGCGCGGUGUGUUGGCCGCAGCGCGCUGGUUGCGGUGGCCAUUGGAGGGUGAACCAACGGCAAAGGAAGACCUUUCUCUCUGUCUCUCUCUCACUGCCACUCUGCCUGACCAAAAAAAAAAAAAAAAAAAAAAAAACCAAGGGCGCAGCAAACCUGAUGCAGCUGAGUCAGAAUUGCAGGCAGCUCCUUAAUGAGAAGUGUUAGAAGUGUUAGCUGCUGAGCUUGGCUGCAUCCAAUCAGCUUCCCCCGCCCCUUUAUUUGCAAGAACACCUGGGGAUGGGUAGUGUCAGCAAGCUUUUUCGCCAAACUUACACUGUUUUCUUGAGCGGGAGGAAUGGUUUCUGUGUUGGCUCUCGUUGCUUAGAACUUAAAGAUUCAAAGGUGUACACGGCGUCACUGUCUGGCUGCUUCCUGCUGUCAUCUGGGACAUGAGGCCAGAUUGGUUUUAACCAGGAAGUGAACGAAUUUCCAGGGUUGGUGAGCCCGUUUCUGUGGAGGUGGAAGUUCUGGGAACAGGAAGGCCUGGCCUUCCUUGGCUACGAAUGAAAGUGGCUGGAGAAUGACGAAGGCAGGGACUGCCACGCAGCUGAGAACAAGCCACAGAGGGAUAUCUCCCUGGGUGUGGAGAGCCAAACACACACACGUGUGGAAUCGGGACAAAUGUGUGUUUUGAAAGCAAAGCAAAGGGCAAAAUGUCUGCUCCUGUUCAACGCCCAGCUCUGAACUGCAUUGCUUGCAUUCUUGUUAAGUUUUCCAGGUUCUUUACAUGUAAGGGAUAGUAGUCCUUUGUCAGAUGAACAGAUUAUCAGUAUGUCUCUCAUUCUGUGGAUUGUUUUUCCUGCUGUGCAGAAGCCUCUGAGUCUGAUAAAAUCACAUUUGUCUGGUUUUCUUCCUUUUCUCUUGAUCUUUUUAAAACCAUUGCCUAUGGAGAUGUCUUGGUGUUUCCCCUGUGAUCUCAUCUGAGCGCUUAUUUUUCAACCUUACGUUGAGAUCUUUGAUCUGUUUUGAGUAAAUGAUUGCAUAGGGUGGGGAAUUGGCCCAGUUCAGUUAUCUGCGUGUGGACAUGCAGUCUUCCAGGCACCAUUUAGUAGAGACACUGUCCUUUCUCUGUGUGUUUUGGGCACCUUUGUCCACGGCAAGAUGGCUGUGGAUGCUGGGUUCAUUUCUUCGAUCUUUACUCAGUUAAUUAAUCUUUGUGACUGUCUUCAUGCCAGGAUCAUGUCGGUGUUGUUGGAAUAGUAGAAGGGCUUGAAGUCUGGUGUUCUUGUGCUUCCAGCUGUAUUAUUUUUGUUCAAGUCUGAUUUGUCCAUUUGAGGACUUUGGUGCUGCUAUGUGAAUUUCAAAGUUGUUUCUUAUUGUUCUUUGGAGAAUGUAAUUGGUAGUUUUGUGACGACUACAUUGAAUCUUUCAAUCUCUUUGUGUAGUAUGGACAAUUUAUUGUUUUCCAGACGAGGACAGGCAUUGUGGCAUAGCAGUGGCGCCACCACCUGUGACACCUGCAUCCCCAUGCAGCAGUUCCUGUCCUGGCUGUUCCACUUGCAAUCCAGCCACAUGCUAAUGGCCUGGGAAAAGUAAUGGAAGAUGGCUCAAGUCCUUUGGCCUCUGCCAUUCCUGUGGAGACCUGGAUGAAGCUCCUGGCUCCUGGCUUGAGCCUUUCCUAGUGCUGGCCAUUGAGGCCACUAGGGGAGUGAACCAGCAGAUACAGGACCUACCUUCCCCCCAUCCCACUCUAACUUUCAAAUAAAUCAUUUUUAAAAGGUAAAUAAAUACGUUUUCCAACCAUGAAUAUGGGGGGCCGUUCUUCUGUUUUAGCUCCUUCAUUUCUUUCAUUACUGCUGUGUCAUUAUCAUUGGAGGAGUCUUUACUAUUUAUGGUUUAAUUUAUUCCAUUUAAAUUUUUUUUGUAAUUAUUAAUGGAAUUGGUCUUGUAACUUCUUUCUCACAGUUCAUUGUUUGUUUAUACAAAUGCUAAUUAGCUUUGCACAUUGAAUUUGUACCCUGCAGCUACUGGAUUUGUUUUCCAGUUCUAAUAUUCUCUUGCAGGAGUCUGCAGGUUUCUCCCAAGUAGAAUCCUGUCAUCUGCAAACAGGGACAGUUGGACUUCCUCCUUUCCUAUUUGUAUGCAUUUUACUUGUUUCUCUUGCCUAAUUGCUUUCGUGAUAACUUGCUGUGCUGUAUUGAAUAAGAGUGGUGGUUGUAGACAUUCUUUUCAGAUUCCAGAUCUUUGAGGAAAUCCUCUUAGCUGUGAGUUUGUCCAACAUAGCCUGUACCGUUGGGACAUACCCCUUCUAUGCUGAGUUUGUUCAAGGUUUCUUUUUUUUUUUUUAAGAUCUAUUUAUUUAUCUGAAAGUGGAGUUAGAGAGAGGAGAAGCAGAAAGAGUGAGAGAGAGGGAGAGGGAGAGAGAGAGGUUGGUCUUCCAUCCGAUGGUUCACUCCCCAAUUGGCCACAACGGCCGGAGCUGUGCCAGUCCGAAGCCAGGAGCUUCUUCCAGGUCUCCCACGCGGGUGCAGGAGUGCAAGGACUUGGGCCAUCUUCUACUACUUUUUUUUUUAUUUAAUGAGCAUAAAUUUCCAAAGUACAGCUUAUGGAUUACAAUAGCUUCCUCCCCCAUAACUUCCCUCCCACCCACAACGCUCUCCUCUCCCACUCCCUCUCCCCUUCCCCUUCACAUCACGAUUAAUUUUCAAUUAUCUUUAUAUACAGAAGAUCAAUUUAGCAUAUGUUAAGUAAAGAUUUCCACAUUUUGCUCCCACAUAGAAACACAAAGUGUAAAAUACUAUUUGAGUACUAGUUAUAGCAUUAAUUAAACACCUAAGAGUAAUUGUGUAUUAAUUACAGAGUUCAACCAAUAGUUUUAAGUAGACUAUAAAAUGCAUCUUUUGUAUUGUUGUGGCUCCCCCCCCCCCCGACCUCCCUCCCUCCCUCCCGUGGCCCUCCCCUUACCCACUCCCUCUCCCAUCCCGCCCUGCAUCGAGUUUCAUUUUCAAUUACCUUGAUAUACUGAAGAUCAAGUUAGUAUAUACUAAGCAGGGAUUUCAACAGGUUGCACUCACACAACCGAACCAGCUAUAGGGUAUUGUUCGACUAGUAGUGUUGUUUUUGAGUUUCAUAGUUAAACAUAUUAAGGACAGAGAUCCUGCGUGGGGAGCAUGAACCCAGUGACUCCCGUUGUUGAUUUAACAAUUGGCACUCUUAUUUAUGAUGUCAGUAAUCACCCGAGACUCUUGCUAUGAGCUGUCUAGGCUAUGGAAGCCCCUUGAGUUCAGCAACUCUGAAUUUGUUUAGUCAAGGCCAUACACAGUGGAGGUUCCUUCCUCCCUUCAGAGAAAGGUGCCUCUCUCCUUGGCCAUCUUCUACUACUUUCUCAGGCCAUAGAAGAGAGCUGGAUUGAAAGAGGAGCAGCCGGGUCUCGAACCAGUGCCCAUAUGGGAUGCUGGCGCUUCAGGCCAGGGUGUUAACCAGCUGCACCACAGCGCCGGCCCCAUGUGCAAAGUUUCUAAAUGAGGAGAGAUUGUUUAAUUGUAUCUAGUGAUUUCUCUGUCGAGGUGAUCGUAUGAGCUUUCUCCUUCCUUCUAUUGAAGUGGUUAGUGAUAGGUUUCUUGGUGUGCACAGGUUGAAUGUACCUGAAUCCCUGUGAUAAACCCCAGUUGAUCAGUAUGAAUGAUUUUUUGUUAAGUUCAUUUUGCUAGAGUUGGUUGAGGAUUUUGCAGCUGUGUCUACUGGGGACACUGACUUGUAAUUUUAUUUUUUGGUUGUGUCCUUGCCUGGUUUUGAAGUAGAGGUAAUGCUGUCCUCCUAGAAUGAAUUUGGAAGGUUUCCCUCCCUUUGAAUUUUUAGGGGCUACUUUGAGAUUAAUCAGUUUGGUUCUUACUGAGAGUUUGCUAAAAUGAAGCCAUGAAGCCAUCUGGUCCUGGGCUUUUCCUUGCUGGGAGCUUUUUUCUUACUGCUUCCAACUCUCAGCUUAUUGUUGGUCUCUCUUCAUGCUGCAGGUGUGGUAAGUCACACCUACAGAGUUUUAUCUCUUUUUUUUUGACGGGCAAAGUUAGACAGUGAGAGAGAGACAGAGAGAAAGGUCUUCCUUUUCCCAUUGUUUCACCCCCCCAAGUGGCUGCUACGGCCAGCUCGUUGUGGCCAGCAUGCUGCACCGAUCUGAAGCCAGGAGCCAGCUGCUUCCUCCUGGUCUCCCAUACAGGUGCAGGGCCCAAGCACUUGGGCCAUCCUCCACUGCCUUCCCAGGCCACAGCAGAGAGCUAGACUGGAAGAGGAGCAACGGGACAGAAUCUGGUACCCCGACUGGGACUAGAACCUGGUGUGCCGGCACUGCAGGCGGAGGAUUAGCCUAGUGAGCCACGACGCCAGCCCUUAUCUUUCUCUUAAUGGUUCUCAAAUUUGUUGGCAUGUGGUUUUCACAAUCUAUAAUGGGCAGUGAUGUUUCUGUGUUAUCAUAUGCGUUGUCACAUUUUCAUGUCUGCUAUUGACUUGAGUCUUCUGUUUUUAUUGUCUACCUAAAAAUUUGUUCACAAGUGUAUUUUUUUAAAGAUUUAUUUUAUUUAUUUGAAAGAGUUACAGAGAGACAGAGGCAGAGAGAGGUCUUCUAUCUGCUGGUUCACUCCCCAGUUGGCCAUAAUGGCUGAAGCAGUGCUGAUCCAAAGAAGGAGCCUCUUCCAGGUCUCCCACGUGGGUAAAGGGGCCCAAGGAUUUGGGCCAUCUUCCACUGCCUUCCUAAGCCAUAGCAGAGAGCCGGGUCAGAAGUGGAGCGGCUAGGACUUGAACCUGCACCCUUAUGGGAUGCCCAUGAUGCAGACUGGCGCUUUAACCUGCUGUGCCACAGCACCAGCCCCCACAACAGUAUUUUUUCCUUCAUACUACCUGAACUCUUAGUGUAGAGUUACCCUUAGGAGUAUAAAGUAAACUAAAAAUAGAUUUUUGUAAAAAUUAAUGGAAAUAGGAGAGGGAGGAGGAAGAAGGG